RNAcentral lists this ribosomal RNA (460 nucleotides) under uncultured bacterium. RNAcentral's name for it is "partial 16S ribosomal RNA". It matches the Rfam family "Bacterial small subunit ribosomal RNA", at positions 338 to 795 of the family's 1533-position model. The record is from RNAcentral.
CCUACGGGUGGCAGCAGUGAGGAAUAUUGGUCAAUGGACGAGAGUCUGAACCAGCCAAGCAGCGUGAAGGAUGACUGCCUUAGGGGUUGUAAACUUUUUUUAUAUGGGAAUAAAAUGUUCCAGGUGAGGGUUUUUGUAUGUACCAUAUGAAUAAGGAUCGGCCAACUCCGUGCCGGCAGCCGCGGUAAUACGGAGGAUCCGAGCGUUAUCCGGAUUUAUUGGGUUUAAAGGGAGCGUAGGUGGAUUGUUAAGUUAGUUGUGAAAGUUUGCGGCUCAACCGUUAAACUGCAGUUGAAUCUGGCAGUCUUGAGUACAGUAGAGGUGGGCGGAAUUCGUGGUGUAGCGGUGAAAUGCUUAGAUAUCACGAAGAACUCCGAUUGCGAAGGCAGCUCACUGGACUGCAACUGACACUGAGGCUCGAAAGUGUGGGUAUCAAACAGGAUUAGAUACCCUGGUAGUC